AUUUCAGAGGAGGGUGCUCGGCCGGGGAUUAUCAAUCUGUGGUAAAGUAGUAUCCCCUCGUAUCCUCCUCACAG
Molecule: microRNA precursor, 74 nt
Filed under: Mus spretus (western wild mouse)
Lineage: Eukaryota; Metazoa; Chordata; Mammalia; Rodentia; Muridae
Description: microRNA 7081 (ENSMSPG00010024128.1)
Source: RNAcentral